Molecule: long non-coding RNA, 336 nt
Filed under: Brassica napus (rape)
Lineage: Eukaryota; Viridiplantae; Streptophyta; Magnoliopsida; Brassicales; Brassicaceae
Description: long non-coding RNA (BNAP_LNC025276)
Source: RNAcentral
CUGCGCUUUCUGGUUUGCUGGAACCAGGACAGAGUGGGUAACCUUUUCCAAUUGGUUUCGUAGUGAAACUCCUGUUGAGCUGAGGCGUGCAACACCUUAUCUUCAGAGGUUGAGAAAUUAACAAAAUCAAAUGUUGCUGCAGCUGAUUCCUUUUCAAUUAGUUGGUUCUUUUUCCUGAGACUACACAGCUUUCCUCCAGGCUCAAAUACAACAUGCUUCAUGCCCAUUUCGUGUCUUGAAAGCUCCACUGCUCUGGUCUUGUUCCAAACAAAAGGACUGAUGAGAAAAGUACUCAAGAAAGUCCUUUGAAAAUCAGAUGGAUCAAAGACAAUCAGC